RNAcentral lists this ribosomal RNA (465 nucleotides) under uncultured bacterium. RNAcentral's name for it is "partial 16S ribosomal RNA". It matches the Rfam family "Bacterial small subunit ribosomal RNA", at positions 338 to 795 of the family's 1533-position model. The record is from RNAcentral.
CCUACGGGAGGCAGCAGUAGGGAAUCUUCCACAAUGGGCGAAAGCCUGAUGGAGCAACGCCGCGUGGGUGAAGAAGGUCUUCGGAUCGUAAAACCCUGUUGUUAGAGAAGAAAGUGCGUGAGAGUAACUGUUCACGUUUCGACGGUAUCUAACCAGAAAGCCACGGCUAACUACGUUCCAGCAGCCGCGGUUAUACGUAGGUGGCAAGCGUUAUCCGGAUUUAUUGGGCGUAAAGGCAAGCCAGGCGGGCUUUUAAGGCUGAUGUGAAAGCCUUCGGGUUAAACGGAGUAGUGCUUUGGAAACUGGGUGACUUGAGUGCAGGAGGGGAGAGUGGAACUCCAUGUGUAGCGGUGAAAUGCGUAGAUAUAUGGAAGAACACCAGUGGCGAAAGCGGCUCUCUGGUCUGUAACUGACGCUGAGGUUCGAAAGCGUGGGUAGCAAACAGGAUUAGAUACCCGUGUAGUC